AUUGAACGCUGGCGGCGUGCCUAACACAUGCAAGUCGAGCGGUAACAGGUGUAGCAAUACAUGCUGACGAGCGGCGAACGGGUGAGUAAUGCUUUGGAAUCUUCCCAGUAGUGGGGAAUAACCAGUCGAAAGAUUGGCUAAUACCGCAUACGUCUGUAAAGGGAAAGCGGGGGACUCGCCUCUUCUUCGGAAGAGAGGCCUCGCGCUAUUGGAUGAGCCAAAGCGGAUUAGCUAGUUGGUGGGGUAAUGGCCUACCAAGGCGACAAUCCGUAGCUGGUCUGAGAGGACGACCAGCCACACCGGAACUGAGACACGGUCCGGACUCCUACGGGAGGCAGCAGUGGGAAUAUUGGACAAGUGGGGAAACCCUGAUCCAGCGACGCCGCG
This 387-nucleotide ribosomal RNA is filed under the name uncultured bacterium. RNAcentral describes it as "bacterial SSU rRNA". It matches the Rfam family "Bacterial small subunit ribosomal RNA", at positions 30 to 401 of the family's 1533-position model. The record is from RNAcentral.